This is a long non-coding RNA of Doryrhamphus excisus (bluestripe pipefish), 838 nucleotides long. RefSeq lists it as uncharacterized. The record is from RefSeq and is a predicted model, not a curated record. NCBI's taxonomy places the organism in Eukaryota, Metazoa, Chordata, Actinopteri, Syngnathiformes, Syngnathidae.
GAUGUUCACAGCAUAUAAAGUCCACCAUGUUGAUAAGGAGAAAGCAUCUUCACGUCUCAUUCUCACAUCUGGAAAACUGCAAUACAAUUCCAACAAUUCCAGGAUCGUGACGGCGUCGUUGAGAAGUGACUCUCCGAAGACGAUGAUGAAGAGCAUGUCGUUAACGUGAACUUCCUCAAAAACAGCCAGAACUGCCACAGGGUCCACAGCGGAGAUCAAAGCGCCGAACAACAGGAAGUCCAUCAGGUCGGCCUCCACACGCUCAUCUGUCUUGGCGGCGUGGAGGCCGAAGCCCGUGCAGAAGGCGUUCCACAGCGUUCCCACCACGGCGUACAUGAGGAUGGCUCCCAGGUUGUCGAAGAAGAGCCGGGCCGGCAUGAAGUACCCGGCGUCGCCCACAAUGGUGGGCAGCAGGAAGAGGAAGAACAGGGCGGGUUCUAGCUGGUACAGCUGCUUCUUAUUGGCCAAGAGCACCAGGCCGCCCAGAACCAGACCGAGCAGGAUCAGCAUGCAACUCUCUGGAACCACCGUGGUGAAGCGCUGGGACAAGUGGAACACUGCCAUGGCAACAACAUGUUGUUUACAUUAGCACUAGUCACACGCCACCCGUCAGCCCGGGUCGGGUUCUACGUUCACACACACAAGGACGGCAAAGGGACGAGUCCUCGGUGUCUGGUCUGUCGUUGCCGGUGAAGCCUGUCCACAAAAUGACGACGACAACAACAACACAUUGAUUGUGCCGCUGCACAACGCCGCCACUGUGUCACUCGUCACCAUGAACGUCCACUCGCGUGCAAAGAUUUAGCAAAGACUCAGCAUCCACUCAGAGGUCACUUCA